GAUGAACGCUGGCGGCGUGCCUAAUACAUGCAAGUCGAGCGAACAGACGAGGAGCUUGCUCCUCUGACGUUAACGGCGGACGGGUGAGUAACACGUGGAGAACCUACCUAUAAGACUGGGAUAACUUCGGGAAACCGGAGCUAAUACCGGAUAAUAUAUUGAACCGCAUGGUUCAAUAGUGAAAGACGGGUUUGCUGUCACUUAUAGAUGGAUCCGCGCCGCAUUAGCUAGUUGGUAAGGUAACGGCUUACCAAGGCAACGAUGCGUAGCCGACCUGAGAGGGUGAUCGGACACACUGGAACUGAGACACGGUCCAGACUCCUACGGGAGGCAGCAGUAGGGAAUCUUCCGCAAUGGGCGAAAGCCUGACGGAGCAACGCCGCGUGAGUGAUGAAGGUCUUCGGAUCGUAAAACUCUGUUAUUAGGGAAGAACAAAUGUGUAAGUAACUAUGCACGUCUUGACGGUACCUAAUCAGAAAGCCACGGCUAACUACGUG
RNAcentral lists this ribosomal RNA (497 nucleotides) under uncultured bacterium. Its description in RNAcentral is "partial 16S ribosomal RNA". It matches the Rfam family "Bacterial small subunit ribosomal RNA", at positions 28 to 507 of the family's 1533-position model. The record is from RNAcentral.